CCCCCCUUCAUAGAGAUUUUCUUAGAUAAAAUUUGUAUCUUGUUAAGCUAAUGCACCACAAGCAUUGAUCUAUAGAAAUAUAGUACAUUCCAUAGAUAUUUGAACUUAACAAAUUUUAUUGCAUCUUUAUUGUUGUUCCAAUCUAGCUGCUUAGCUAAUGCUCGCUAGAAGGGUGUAGAACUAAAUGCUAUGAGUAGCGUCUGGUAAGUGUAUGAAGUUUUGCUGUCAUUUGGACAACCUACC
RNAcentral lists this long non-coding RNA (243 nucleotides) under Elaeis guineensis (African oil palm). Its description in RNAcentral is "long non-coding RNA (EGUI_LNC030863)". Lineage: Eukaryota; Viridiplantae; Streptophyta; Magnoliopsida; Arecales; Arecaceae. The record is from RNAcentral.